UGGGGAAUAUUGGACAAUGGGGGCAACCCUGAUCCAGCCAUGCCGCGUGUGUGAAGAAGGCCUUUUGGUUGUAAAGCACUUUAAGCAGUGAAGAAGACUCCAUGGUUAAUACCCAUGGACGAUGACAUUAGCUGCAGAAUAAGCACCGGCUAACUCUGUGCCAGCAGCCGCGGUAAUACAGAGGGUGCAAGCGUUAAUCGGAAUUACUGGGCGUAAAGCGAGCGUAGGUGGCUUGAUAAGUCAGAUGUGAAAGCCCCGGGCUUAACCUGGGAACGGCAUCUGAUACUGUUAGGCUAGAGUAGGUGAGAGGAAGGUAGAAUUCCAGGUGUAGCGGUGAAAUGCGUAGAGAUCUGAAGGAAUACCGAUGGCGAAGGCAGCCUUCUGGCAUCAUACUGACACUGAGGUUCGAAAGCGUGGGUAGCAAACA
This 427-nucleotide ribosomal RNA is filed under the name uncultured bacterium. RNAcentral describes it as "partial 16S ribosomal RNA". It matches the Rfam family "Bacterial small subunit ribosomal RNA", at positions 355 to 774 of the family's 1533-position model. The record is from RNAcentral.